Oreochromis aureus is the source of this 1742-nucleotide long non-coding RNA. RefSeq lists it as uncharacterized. The record is from RefSeq and is a predicted model, not a curated record. Lineage: Eukaryota; Metazoa; Chordata; Actinopteri; Cichliformes; Cichlidae. The transcript has 4 exons.
UCUGUGUGCAGGAAGAGAACAGUUUCCUCUCAGAAUAUUUAGUGUAAGUUUGCAGCUCUCAGCAGAAGCUAACCUCAGCACCCAAGAUGAAGACCUUCUUGCCAAAAUUUGCCAUCAAACAAUACAGCACGUAUGUCGCAAUGAUUGUGAUUUUUGUUCACAAUUAUGUGCUUGACGAGGAUUUAAACUGCACUUGCGAUGCUGACAUAACAACCUGCUCCUUCUACUUGGUUCUACCUUUUUUAAUCUUAUGUGCUUUACAACUCUGGACAGACGAGCCAUUCAAGAGAGUCUGGAAAUACACAUGUCCUACAUGCACCUGUUGUUGUUGUUGUUGCAAAUGCAGGUGCAAACUUUUCUUGGUUUUGUGUUUACAAAUUAUGAAGGCAGUUUGCAUUGGUCUGCUUUGGGUAUUGUCCGUGUUCAUCGAUGGAGACUGGUUUGUUUGCUGUUGCAAUACAUAUGAAGAACAUCCACAGUUAGGCUGCAAAGACAAAAAAAACAUCACAGCUGAGGAACGAGUCCUGAUUGCUAAGCUGAAAAACAAAUCCAUGCUGAUUGGCUUGGGUGCACUCUUGGUUGGCUUUGUUUUUGUUACCUUUGUGUUACCACUUGGAUGGAAGAAAUGCUGUGAAAAGAGAGAGAAUUGCCCAAGUUGCUGUGACAGAAAACUUCUAUACGACCAAAUGAUUUUGGAGGAGGAAGAAAAUGUACUCACAGAGAUGAUAAGAAAAGCAGCAAAAGAUAAGCUGACCGAAGAAAUGCAGAAGAAACUCAACAGUGAAAGAUGGGGGGAAUGUUUUGAUGUUGCUGAAGAGCUGAUUAAAAACAAAACUCCACCAGGACACAAGGAUGAAAUUUCUUCUUUUGAAAUUCAGGAGCCAGAGGUGAAGGGCCUCCUAAUGAAGUCUGUUGCAGAAAAACGCACAACAAAAAUGUGAGGAAAUUAUCGUCACUGCGACCAUCUUACCAGAAUUCAGAAGUUUCAUUUUCAGUUUAUCAGAAAAAUUUUUUGUCUGUACAUCACAAGUGAAAGAAAACUAUACUAAAAUUGUUGUGUUAUGCUUAAAAAUACCAUGUUAUGGUGAUACAUGUAUGUUUCAUAUAUUUCAAAGUUUUUUUAUGUCACAUGAGCGUAGAUUUUUAAUGCUGCUUAUUUUAAUCUAUGAUAUUGUUUAAAUUUCACAAAUGUGAGCAUGUUAUAAGGAACGUCUAUAGAAAGCAUUUGAGUCAUUGCGCAUCACUUUGUAGCUGACAGCUUGCCUCUAGGCAUUUUGCAGCCUUUGGUUGCCUUGGGAACCCUUUAAGAUAUUUACCAUCCCUUUAUAUUUGAAUCAACCAUAGUGUUCACUCUUGCUGGUAGCCUCAUCAUCACUCUGUUUAGACCCCAAAGUUUAACUUUUGACCUGCUCGCUUCACACUGACGUUGGCCAUUUUGUUUCUAGUUGCUCAAGCUCAAAUUUUACAAGUAGCCUAUUGAAGACAUUAAUAAUACAGUUUUCACUAUUACUGUAACAUUUAAUGCCACCUGUGUACAAACGACACGCUCAUAUAAAGAAGCUGUGAAGUUUCAGGUUUGGCAGAAAUCAUAAAAAUGAAGCUUUUGGAUCUAGAAACAGAAAAACUGAGAUUUUGAUUUUAACGUGCUAAGUUGAUAUUUGAAUAAUACUUUCAAAUGAAAUGCACAAUUUGAAUUGUAAUAUGUGUUUCAGUAAAAAUGAAUAAAAAAAAUAUGAGCUUUG